Molecule: ribosomal RNA, 495 nt
Filed under: uncultured bacterium
Lineage: Bacteria
Description: partial 16S ribosomal RNA
Rfam family: Bacterial small subunit ribosomal RNA
Source: RNAcentral
GACGAACGCUGGCGGCGUGCCUAAUACAUGCAAGUAGAACGCUGAAGGAGGAGCUUGCUUCUCUGGAUGAGUUGCGAACGGGUGAGUAACGCGUAGGUAACCUGCCUGGUAGCGGGGGAUAACUAUUGGAAACGAUAGCUAAUACCGCAUAAUAGUAGAUGUUGCAUGACAUUUGCUUAAAAGGUGCAAUUGCAUCACUACCAGAUGGACCUGCGUUGUAUUAGCUAGUUGGUGGGGUAACGGCUCACCAAGGCGACGAUACAUAGCCGACCUGAGAGGGUGAUCGGCCACACUGGGACUGAGACACGGCCCAGACUCCUACGGGAGGCAGCAGUAGGGAAUCUUCGGCAAUGGACGGAAGUCUGACCGAGCAACGCCGCGUGAGUGAAGAAGGGUUUCGGAUCGUAAAGCUCUGUUGUAAGAGAAGAACGAGUGUGAGAGUGGAAAGUUCACACUGUGACGGCAUCUUACCAGAAAGGGACGGCUAACUACGUG